CGGGUAGGAGUAACGCGUGAGGAACCUGCCUCAAAGAGGGGGACAACAGUUGGAAACGACUGCUAAUACCGCAUAAGCCACGGCUCGGCAUCGAGCAGAGGGAAAAGGAGCAAUCCGCUUUGAGAUGGCCUCGCGUCCGAUUAGCUAGUUGGUGAGGUAACGGCCCACCAAGGCGACGAUCGGUAGCCGGACUGAGAGGUUGAACGGCCACAUUGGGACUGAGACACGGCCCAG
Molecule: ribosomal RNA, 234 nt
Filed under: uncultured bacterium
Lineage: Bacteria
Description: partial 16S ribosomal RNA
Rfam family: Bacterial small subunit ribosomal RNA
Source: RNAcentral